UGCUGAACUGCAAGGAAAGUGCUCCCUCAUGCUGACAGAUAAAAUUGGUUAAUGCUGAGAAAUUAAUUUCCUGCUUUAGCUGAGCAUUGUUUCCCAUGCCUCAGCAUCGCUCUGUGUUCUCUCCAAAGGUGCUGGAUACGGCUCUGGCACCCCCUUCCCAUCCACCUAUGGGGUCUUGCUCAGUUUGGAGCAGCAGAACUGUUUCAGAUCAGGUUCCCUCUCAGACAGUGUGUUGUUUUCGCAUGGUGCUGUAGCUGGUUUGGAUUGGCAGAAACUCAUGGAUAUUUUUUUUUCUCUCUGCAGUUUGGUAUUCACAGCACAGUGUCAGCCCUGGAGAUACCUUGGGUGGUGCUGAGUGUUGGAGAGAUCCUGCAGACCUGCUGCAGAGACCAGACUGAUAAAGUCUCCAGGCCUCUUGAUGAGGUGGAUCGUGGUGGGACAGUGCCUUUUUGCAAAAGCAGGGUCAGACAGAGAGCAGGAAGCUUUCCUCAUGGCUUCGUGUGAUGCAAUACCCCAGCUGGUGUUUGCACUGAGACCAAAAAAGUGAAUAUGCACCCCUUGGAGUCUGAUAUGAGGGAAUUUGUCAGUGGAUAACAGCUAAAGUUGUGCAUUAGAGGAAGACACUAGGAGAGAAUGAUUACAAACAAGACUCUGAGGUAACCCAUCAUCCCAUGCCUUGUAGGAGAAGGAUGGAGACAACUGAUAUGGGAAGAGCAAAGCUGUUGACUGUUUCCAGGACCUGUGAUUCACAGCUGGGAGCAGGACCCUGUCCUAUCUGUGGUACUGCAGACACGGCUCCACACGAGCUGGCACCUGAAAUCCCAACAGGUAGCACCAAGUUCUCUGCUCAUCUUUGCCAUGUCCCUUCCUGUCGAGGAUCAUUUCUCUGGGCCCCUGGAUGAACGUGACGAGGGAUGACACUUUGUAAAAGCCAUUUUGUAGCUGGUCAGAAUGGCCCUGGGAUGGAGGUCUCCACAGCUGAGGAUGGGAAUGCUGUCAGCCUGGAAGGCAAUUUUUCCAACAAGUUGAUUUAUGGAAUUGGCUGGCAAAGCCUUGAAUACAUUGAGAAAUACAACUUCUACAAUGGACCAACACAUCCUUAAGGAAUGAAUGGUUCCUCUUUAAACUAGGAGCUGUGCUCCUGGCUGCUCUGAGCACCUUGGGAAUGGAGGAGGAUUAGGACCAGGCUGUGAACUGUGGUGUUUGUCCUGCUGUGUAAACCUGUACUGUAAAAACUUGUCCAGAGGCUGAACUGAGAGGGCUGUGAAGCCACCAACUCUGGCUGCUCCUGCCACCAGCUCUGCCCGACCACAGCACUCUCACCAGCUCACCCAGCACAGGGGAUCGAAGGGACCCAGUGCCAAAACCCAGGAGAGUUCUUCACUGGGACCUGCCCUGGAGUAAUUUCUUUGGAUCAGGGAGAAAAGUCCAAGUUUUUACACUGACUGGAAGUUCUUGUGAAAUGUUGAGUCGGAAACAUGGGAGAGACCUGACCCAAGUGGACCACUUAUUCUAAAUGGCAGAAAGGGAGAAAAAGGCAAGCAGAAUUCCCAAAUCAUAUGGAGGAGCCACUGCAUGAAUCCAGAGG
Long non-coding RNA from Lepidothrix coronata (blue-crowned manakin), 1588 nucleotides. RefSeq lists it as uncharacterized. The transcript has 9 exons. The record is from RefSeq and is a predicted model, not a curated record. NCBI's taxonomy places the organism in Eukaryota, Metazoa, Chordata, Aves, Passeriformes, Pipridae.